GGGAUGAACGCUGGCGGCGUGCUUAAUACAUGCAAGUCGAGCGGUAACACUUCGGGUGACGAGCGGCGGACGGCUGAGUAACACGUAGGAACGUACCCCAAACUGAGGGAUAACUGCUCGAAAGAGUAGCUAAUACCGCAUGUGAUCUUCGGAUUAAAGCUUCGGCGGUUUGGGAACGGCCUGCGCAUGAUUAGCUUGUUGGUGAGGUAAUGGCUCACCAAGGCAACGAUCAUUAGCUGGUCUGAGAGGAUGACCAGCCAGACUGGGACUGAGACACGGCCCAGACUCCUACGGGAGGCAGCAGUAGGGAAUUUUCCACAAUGGACGAAAGUCUGAUGGAGCAACGCCGCGUGCAGGAUGAAGGCUCUAGGGUCGUAAACUGCUUUUAUAGGUGAAGAUUAUGACGGUAACCUAUGAAUAAGGAUCGGCUAACUCCGUGCCAGCAGCCGC
This 450-nucleotide ribosomal RNA is filed under the name uncultured bacterium. RNAcentral describes it as "SSU rRNA". It matches the Rfam family "Bacterial small subunit ribosomal RNA", at positions 27 to 518 of the family's 1533-position model. The record is from RNAcentral.